GGAGAGAGGGAGAGACUAGACUGAGAGAGAUGGUGGAGAGAGAGACUGGACUGGGAGAGGGAGAGGGAGAGAGAGAUGGGAGAGAGGGAGAGACUAGACUGAGAGAGAUGGUGGAGAGAGAGACUGGACUGCGGGAGAGAGAGAGAGAGUUGUGGAGGUCUUCGGGCACAAGUACAAAGAUAUAUAGAUAAAAAUAAGUUGUGUAUAUAGGGGAGGGAGUAUCUUUCAGAUUUUAGCAGAGGAUCUACAUAUUAUAGAGGGAGAGAUUCUGAGAGAGAUUAAAGAGAGCGCAAACGGGAGUUGGGAGAGCGACAAAGUGGGUUCAUGCGGACUGCCCUCGCUUGCUCAAAUACCAGUACAAAACAAAAGGUCCUGCGUAUUCUCUUU
This 387-nucleotide long non-coding RNA is filed under the name Daucus carota (carrot). Its description in RNAcentral is "long non-coding RNA (DCAR_LNC005299)". Lineage: Eukaryota; Viridiplantae; Streptophyta; Magnoliopsida; Apiales; Apiaceae. The record is from RNAcentral.